UGAGCAAUCUGCCCUUAACUCUGGGAUAAGCCUGGGAAACUGGGUCUAAUACCGGAUAUGACUCCUCAUCGCAUGGUGGGGGGUGGAAAGCUUUAUUGUGGUUUUGGAUGGACUCGCGGCCUAUCAGCUUGUUGGUGAGGUAAUGGCUCACCAAGGCGACGACGGGUAGCUGGCUUGAGAGGGUGACCGGCCACACUGGGACUGAGACACGGCCCAGACUCCUACGGGAGCAG
This 233-nucleotide ribosomal RNA is filed under the name uncultured bacterium. RNAcentral describes it as "partial 16S ribosomal RNA". It matches the Rfam family "Bacterial small subunit ribosomal RNA", at positions 118 to 347 of the family's 1533-position model. The record is from RNAcentral.